GUAGAGGAAAGCUAUUGAUUUUUGUGUGUUGACCUUGUAACCAGUUACUUGACUGAAUUUGGUUAUUAAGUCUACAAGACUCUUGGUGGAGUUCUUGGGGUCUUCUAUAUAGAGUAUCAUAUCAUCUGCAAAUAAUGACAAUUUGACUUCUGCAUUUCCUAUUUUUAUUCCUUUUAUUUCUUUCUCUUGUGUAAUUGCCAUGGCUAAUGUUUCCAGAACUAUAUUGAACAAGAGUGGUGAUAGUGGACAUCCUUGUCUUGUUCCUGAUUUGAGCAUGAAGGAUUUCAGGUUUUGACCAUUUAGUAUGAUAUUGGCUGUUGGUUUUUCAUAAAUGGCUUCUAUCAGUUUGAGGUAGAGACCAUCUAUUCCAAUUUUUUGUAGGGUUUUUAUCAUAAAUACAUGUUGGAUUUUGUCAAAUGCCUUUUCUGUGUCUAUGGAGAUAAUCAUAUGGUUUUUGUCCUUGGCUCUAUUGAUAUAAUGUAUUACAUUGAUUGAUUUGCAUAUGUUGAACCAUCCCUGCAUCCCUUGGAUGAAUCCCACUUGAUCAGGGUAUAUGAUCUUGAUGAUCUUCUACAUUCUAUUUGCCAUUAUCUUAUUAAGGAUUUUGCAUCUAUGUUCAUUAGUGAGAUUGGCCUAUAGUUCUCCUUUUUGGGGGAUCAAGGUGAUGCUUGCUUCCAGGAAUGAAUUUGGGAGUAUUGCUUCCCUUUCAAUUUCAUUGAAGAGUUUAAACAGUAGUGGCAGCAGUUCCUCUCUAAAUGUCUUGUAGAAUACAGCACUGAAGACAUCAGGGCCUGGGCUUUUCUUAGUUGAUAAGUUAAUUACAUUUUCAAUUUCAUUGGCUGAUAUUGGGUUGUUCAGAAUUUUUAGGUCUUCUUCAUUCAACUUUGGUAAUUCAUAUGUAUCUAGGAAUCUGUCCAUUUCUUCUGUGUUGUCCAUCUUAUUGGCGUAUAGGUUUUGGAAGUAGGUAUUAAUGAUCCUCUGGAUUUCUGCUGGGUCUGUUGUAAUUUCACCCUUUUCAUUCCUAAUUGCAUGGAUUUGGGCCUUUUCUUUCCUUUUUCUGACCAGGUUGGCUAAAGGCUUGUCAAUUUUGUUGAUUCCUUCGAAGAAACAACUCUUGGCUUCAUUGAUUUUUUGUAUCUUUCUCUUAGUCUCCAUUGCGUUGAUUUCUCCUCUGAUCUUUAUAAUUUCCUCCCUUGUAUGAGCUUUGGGGUUGUCCUGCUCCUCUUUUUCUAGAAGCUUGAGGUUCAGCAUCAGGUUGUUUAAUUGGGCUCCUUCUGUUUUCCUAACAUGUGUAUUCACUGCUAUGAAUUUCUCUCAUAAUACUGGUUUCAUUGUGUCCCAUAGAUUCCAAUAUGUUCUAUUGUCAUUGUCAUUUAAUUGAAGGAACUGUCUGAUUUCUUUUUUAAUUUCCUCUGUG
RNAcentral lists this long non-coding RNA (1417 nucleotides) under Heterocephalus glaber (naked mole-rat). RNAcentral's name for it is "lncRNA (ENSHGLG00000035283.1)". Lineage: Eukaryota; Metazoa; Chordata; Mammalia; Rodentia; Bathyergidae. The record is from RNAcentral.